RNAcentral lists this ribosomal RNA (520 nucleotides) under Tragelaphus scriptus (bushbuck). RNAcentral describes it as "partial 16S ribosomal RNA". It matches the Rfam family "Bacterial large subunit ribosomal RNA", at positions 1818 to 2569 of the family's 2925-position model. The record is from RNAcentral. Lineage: Eukaryota; Metazoa; Chordata; Mammalia; Artiodactyla; Bovidae.
ACCUCCAGCAUCUCUAGUAUUGGAGGCACUGCCUGCCCAGUGACAAUAGUUUAACGGCCGCGGUAUCCUGACCGUGCAAAGGUAGCAUAAUCACUUGUUCUCUAAAUAAGGACUUGUAUGAAUGGCCACACGAGGGUUUUACUGUCUCUUACUUCCAAUCAGUGAAAUUGACCUCCCCGUGAAGAGGCGGGAAUAAAUUAAUAAGACGAGAAGACCCUAUGGAGCUUUAACUAACCAAUCCAAAGAAAACAGACUAAAUAACUCAGGAAAUAACAACGUCUUCUUAUGAUUUGACAGUUUCGGUUGGGGUGACCUCGGAGAAUAAAAAAUCCUCCGAACGAUUUUAAAGACUAGACCUACAAGUCAAAUCACUCAAUCGCUCAUUGAUCCAAAAACUUGAUCAACGGAACAAGUUACCCUAGGGAUAACAGCGCAAUCCUAUUCAAGAGUCCAUAUCGACAAUAGGGUUUACGACCUCGAUGUUGGAUCAGGACACCCAGAUGGUGCAACCGCUAUCAAA